Molecule: small RNA, 156 nt
Filed under: Collinsella tanakaei YIT 12063
Lineage: Bacteria; Bacillati; Actinomycetota; Coriobacteriia; Coriobacteriales; Coriobacteriaceae
Description: Collinsella-1 RNA
Rfam family: Collinsella-1 RNA
Source: Rfam by way of RNAcentral
GCUCGCAUAUAUUGCACGUGAACGUUUUGUAUGAAGUGGCACAAUAUAACCAUUAAGGGGUAGAAUCAAAUAAAUACCAGCGGAACCCGUUCUAGAUUAACAGUGCGCGGGCGACGCAAGGUGUUCUUUCUUAAGGGCUCGGCGGCUAUCCGGGCC